CCUACGGGAGGCAGCAGUGGGGAAUAUUGGACAAUGGGCGAAAGCCUGAUCCAGCCAUGCCGCGUGUGUGAAGAAGGCCUUCGGGUUGUAAAGCACUUUCAGUGGGGAAGAAAGCCUUGGGGCUAAUACCCUCGAGGAAGGACAUCACCCACAGAAGAAGCACCGACUAACUCCGUGCCAGCAGCCGCGGUAAUACGGAGGGUGCGAGCGUUAAUCGGAAUUACUGGGCGUAAAGCGCGCGUAGGCGGUCUGAUAAGCCGGUUGUGAAAGCCCCGGGCUCAACCUGGGAACGGCAUCCGGAACUGUCAGGCUAGAGUGCAGGAGAGGAAGGUAGAAUUCCCGGUGUAGCGGUGAAAUGCGUAGAGAUCGGGAGGAAUACCAGUGGCGAAGGCGGUCUUCUGGACUGACACUGACGCUGAGGUGCGAAAGCGUGGGUAGCAAACAGGAUUAGCUACCCGUGUAGUC
RNAcentral lists this ribosomal RNA (465 nucleotides) under Vreelandella stevensii. RNAcentral describes it as "partial 16S ribosomal RNA". It matches the Rfam family "Bacterial small subunit ribosomal RNA", at positions 338 to 795 of the family's 1533-position model. The record is from RNAcentral. Lineage: Bacteria; Pseudomonadati; Pseudomonadota; Gammaproteobacteria; Oceanospirillales; Halomonadaceae.